Molecule: ribosomal RNA, 497 nt
Filed under: uncultured bacterium
Lineage: Bacteria
Description: partial 16S ribosomal RNA
Rfam family: Bacterial small subunit ribosomal RNA
Source: RNAcentral
GAUGAACGCUGGCGGCGUGUCUACUAUAUGCAAGCUGAGUCUACAGAUGAGGAGCUUCUUCCUCUGAGGUAUGGGGCGGCCAGGUGAGUAAAACGUGGCUAACCCACCUAUAAGACCUGGAUAACUUCGGGAAAAGGGAGAUAAUAUCGGCAGAUAUAUUAAACCGCCCGGUUCAAUCGUGAAUGACGGUUUUUCUGUCACUUAUUGAUGUAUCCGCGCCGCAUUAGCUAGUUGGUAACGUAACGGCUUACCAAGCCGACGAUGCGUAGCCGACCCGCUAGGGUGAUCGGCCACACUGGAACUGAGACACGGUCCACACUCCUACGGGAGGCAGCAGUAGGGAAUCGUCCGCAAUGGGCGAAAGCCUUACGGAGCAACGCCGCGUGAGUGAUGAAGGUCUUCGGAUCGUAAAACUCUGUUAUUAGGGAAGAACAAAUGUGUAAGUAACUAUGCACGUCUUGACGGUACCUAAUCAGAAAGCCACGGCUAACUACGUG